CCACAGCGAAGCCGGCUGCAGCUGUCCCCUACCCAAGCAUGACAUCGAUGUUCUGCAGAGACUUCUGGCACCUGGGAGGCUGACAACUAAAGUCUCAUUCUGUAACCAAUGCUGGCUCUGAACUCACAGAAACCCUCCUGCCUCAGCUUUGCAAGUGCUAGGAUUACAGGCUGAUGUCACCAAACUGGGUCUUUUCUCAGCUUCCUUCUGAAUUCUCCAGCAGUGGAUGUAGGGAUGGAGCUCUGUGUAUGAGAUAAUCCUGAACACUCUGAUGAUAUCCUCCCCCAAACUUGCUACCAAAUAGCUAGAAGAUUCUCCACACUCAGAGUUGACAGCCCAUGGCCCUGAUUGAGGCGGUCUCCAGACGUCAGAGUCCUCUGGCCAGAGCAGGCCUGUUUGCAUGUGACAAGAUGGAACCCAUUAGCGCUCAGCUCCUCAGUGUUGCUUGUUUCUGAGCAACAAGUGCUGGUACCAAAUCAGAUCUUGGGCAUCAAGAUGAAGAAGACGCUGUCUCUUUACUCAAGGUUCACUCGCUCUGCUUUCUGCUUGCCUUUGGAGAGGUGAGCACUCAGGUUCCCGCUCCUGUAACUUGCCACCAUGCCUCCCUGCCAUGCUGGACUCUUAUCUCUCUGGAAGCUGAAGCCCAAAUAAACUCUUCCUUCCAGGACUGGAGUUUGAUUCCCAGCGUCCACAGAGGCUCACGACCAUCUGUAACUCCAGUUCCAGGAAAUCUGAACCCUCUUCUGGUUUCUUGGUCAC
This is a long non-coding RNA of Alexandromys fortis (reed vole), 759 nucleotides long. RefSeq lists it as uncharacterized. The record is from RefSeq and is a predicted model, not a curated record. NCBI's taxonomy places the organism in Eukaryota, Metazoa, Chordata, Mammalia, Rodentia, Cricetidae. The transcript is spliced from 5 exons.